AGCGAACGUUUGCGGCGGGCCUAACACAUGCAAGUCGAACGCACUAGCAAUAGUGAGUGGCGCACGGGUGCGUAACACGUGGGUAAUCAACCCUUCAGCUUGGGAUAACGACUUGAAAGGGUCGCUAAUACCGGAUACGGCGAGAGAGGCUUCGGCAUUUCUCGAGAAAGCCUCGCAAGGGGCACUGAAGGACGAGCCUGCGGCCCAUCAGCUAGUUGGUGAGGUAAGAGCUCACCAAGGCGAAGACGGGUAGCUGGUCUGAGAGGAUGAUCAGCCACACUGGAACUGAGACACGGUCCAGACUCCUACGGGAGGCAGCAGUGGGGAAUAUUGCGCAAUGGGCGAAAGCCUGACGCAGCCACGCCGCGUGAGCGAUGAAGGCCUUCGGGUCGUAAAGCUCUGUGGGGAGAGACGAAGAAAGCCCGUGAAGAGCGGGCCGUUGACGGGUAUCUCCUUAGCAAGCACCGGCUAACUCCGUGCCAGCAGCCGCGGUAA
RNAcentral lists this ribosomal RNA (495 nucleotides) under uncultured bacterium. Its description in RNAcentral is "bacterial SSU rRNA". It matches the Rfam family "Bacterial small subunit ribosomal RNA", at positions 29 to 523 of the family's 1533-position model. The record is from RNAcentral.